This 75-nucleotide antisense RNA is filed under the name Frankia sp. Hr75.2. RNAcentral's name for it is "ASpks". It matches the Rfam family "ASpks TB sRNA". Lineage: Bacteria; Bacillati; Actinomycetota; Actinomycetes; Frankiales; Frankiaceae. The record is from RNAcentral.
CUUCAACGACCCCAGCAGCACCGGACGGUCCGCGGAACGCCCCUGGCCAUAGGUGGCGAGCAGCGCUCCCACCUC